GCGAAAAUAGCUCAGCAGGUAGAGCGCAACCUUGCCAAGGUUGAGGUCGCGGGUUCGAACCCCGUUUUUCGCU
This 73-nucleotide transfer RNA is filed under the name Riemerella anatipestifer. Its description in RNAcentral is "tRNA-Gly". It matches the Rfam family "tRNA". From Rfam's summary of the family: Transfer RNA (tRNA) molecules are approximately 80 nucleotides in length. Their secondary structure includes four short double-helical elements and three loops (D, anti-codon, and T loops). Lineage: Bacteria; Pseudomonadati; Bacteroidota; Flavobacteriia; Flavobacteriales; Weeksellaceae. The record is from RNAcentral.